This 407-nucleotide ribosomal RNA is filed under the name uncultured bacterium. Its description in RNAcentral is "partial 16S ribosomal RNA". It matches the Rfam family "Bacterial small subunit ribosomal RNA", at positions 30 to 526 of the family's 1533-position model. The record is from RNAcentral.
AUUGAACGCUGGCGGCAGGCCUAACACAUGCAAGUCGAGCGGAGCGGCGGACGGGUGAGUAAUGCCUAGGACUCGGACUGGUCGUGGGGGAUAAGGUCCGGAAACGGGCGCUAAUACUGAUUACUAUCAGAGGCGCCUAGGCCGGAUUAGCUAGUUGGUGGGGUAGAGGCCCACCAAGGCGACGAUCCGUAACUGGUCUGAGAGGAUGAUCAGCCACACUGGAACUGAGACACGGUCCAGACUCCUACGGGAGGCAGCAGUGGGGAAUAUUGGACAAUGGGCGAAAGCCUGAUCCAGCCAUGCCGCGUGUGUGAAGAAGGUCUUCGGAUUGUAAAGCACUUUAAGUUGGGAGGCGUUACCAACAGAAUAAGCACCGGCUAACUCCGUGCCAGCCGCCGCGGUAAUAC